UACGGGAAGCAGCAGUGGGGAAUUUUGGACAAUGGGGGCAACCCUGAUCCAGCCAUUCCGCGUGAGUGAAGAAGGCCUUCGGGUUGUAAAGCUCUUUCAGCUGGAGCGAAACGGUACGCUCUAACAUAGCGUGCUAAUGACGGUACCAGCAGAAGAAGCACCGGCUAACUACGUGCCAGCAGCCGCGGUAAUACGUAGGGUGCGAGCGUUAAUCGGAAUUACUGGGCGUAAAGCGUGCGCAGGCGGAUUGUUAAGCAAGACGUGAAAUCCCCGGGCUUAACCUGGGAAUGGCGUUUUGAACUGGCAGUCUAGAGUGCGUCAGAGGGGGGUGGAAUUCCACGUGUAGCAGUGAAAUGCGUAGAGAUGUGGAGGAACACCGAUGGCGAAGGCAGCCCCCUGGGAUGACACUGACGCUCAUGUACGAAAGCGUGGGUAGCAAACAGGAUUAGAUACCCUGGUAGUCCACGCCCUAAAGGAUGUCAC
This 483-nucleotide ribosomal RNA is filed under the name uncultured bacterium. RNAcentral's name for it is "bacterial SSU rRNA". It matches the Rfam family "Bacterial small subunit ribosomal RNA", at positions 340 to 815 of the family's 1533-position model. The record is from RNAcentral.